CGCUGGCGGCACGCCUAAUACAUGCAAGUCGAACGGAGUAGCAAUACUUAGUGGCAGACGGGUGAGUAACAUGUGGGUAUCUUCCCUUUGGUGAGGAAUAACACGAGGAAACUUGUGCUAAUACCUCAUAAGUCUUUACGGAGAAAGCUUUAUGCGCCAAUGGAUGAGCCCGCACUUGAUUAGUUUGUUGGUGGGGUAAUGGCCUACCAAGACUGUGAUCAAUAGCUGAUUUGAGAGGAUGAUCAGCCACAUUGGGACUGAGACACGGCCCAAACUCCUACGGGAGGCAGCAGUAGGGAAUCUUGCACAAUGGAGGAAACUCUGAUGCAGCGAUGCCGCGUGAGUGAAGAAGGCCCUUGGGUUGUAAAGCUCUUUCGUCGGGGAAGAAAAUGACUGUACCCGAAUAAGAAGGUCCGGCUAACUUCGUGCCAGCAGCCGCGGUAAUACGAAGGGACCUAGCGUAGUUCGGAAUUACUGGGCUUAAAGAGUUCGUAGGUGGUUAAAAAAGUUGGUGGUGAAAGCCCAGAGCUUAACUCUGGAACUGCCAUCAAAACUUUUUAGCUAGAGUUUGAUAGAGGAAAGCAGAAUUUCUAGUGUAGAGGUGAAAUUCGUAGAUAUUAGAAAGAAUACCAAUUGCGAAGGCAGCUUUCUGGAUCAUUACUGACACUGAGGAACGAAAGCAUGGGUAGCGAAGAGGAUUAGAUACCCUCGUAGUCCAUGCCGUAAACGAUGUGUGUUAGAUGUUGGAAAUUUAUUUUCAGUAUCACAGCGAAAGCAAUAAACACACCGCCUGGGGAGUACG
This 802-nucleotide ribosomal RNA is filed under the name uncultured Pelagibacteraceae bacterium. Its description in RNAcentral is "bacterial SSU rRNA". It matches the Rfam family "Bacterial small subunit ribosomal RNA", at positions 34 to 884 of the family's 1533-position model. The record is from RNAcentral. Lineage: Bacteria; Pseudomonadati; Pseudomonadota; Alphaproteobacteria; Candidatus Pelagibacterales; Candidatus Pelagibacteraceae.